This 442-nucleotide ribosomal RNA is filed under the name Solenocera choprai. RNAcentral describes it as "partial large subunit ribosomal RNA". It matches the Rfam family "Bacterial large subunit ribosomal RNA", at positions 1920 to 2560 of the family's 2925-position model. Lineage: Eukaryota; Metazoa; Arthropoda; Malacostraca; Decapoda; Solenoceridae. The record is from RNAcentral.
AUAUUAAAGGGCCGCGGUAUUGUUGACCGUGCGAAGGUAGCAUAAUCAUUAGUCUUUUAAUUGGAGGCUUGUAUGAAUGGUUGGACAAAAAGUUAACUGUCUCGUUUAUAAAAAUUGAAUUUAACUUUUAAGUGAAAAGGCUUAAAUGAUACUGAGGGGACGAUAAGACCCUAUAAAGCUUUACAAUAAAUUAAUUAAAUUAUAAAUUAUUAGUUUAACUUAAUUUAAUUAGUGUUUGUUUCGUUGGGGCGACGAGAAUAUAAAUUAUAUAACUGUUCUUUUAGAUGAAUAUACAAGAUUAAUUGGAGGAAGAUUGAUCCUUUAAUAAAGAUUAAAAGAUUAAGUUACUUUAGGGAUAACAGCGUAAUCUUCUUUGAGAGUCCAUAUCGACAAGAAGGGUUGCGACCUCGAUGUUGAAUUAAGGUACCCUUAUGAUGCAGCA